Molecule: long non-coding RNA, 1036 nt
Filed under: Equus caballus (horse)
Lineage: Eukaryota; Metazoa; Chordata; Mammalia; Perissodactyla; Equidae
Description: lncRNA (ENSECAG00000046629.1)
Source: RNAcentral
GCUAGAUAAUGUGUAUGAUGUUAAGGUUGAUGGUGUUCCUAGCGUUGCUUUGGGCAAGGGUGUCAUGAUGAUGGUGAUCACCAUCACAGUGGCGGUGAUAGCGAUGGGGAGAGUUAAGGGUGGGGCGGGGAUUGGUAAUGGAGAUGAUGGUGGUGACAAUGGUGAUAGCGAUGCUAUUGCUGGUCGUUGUGGUCGUGAUGAAGGCAAUGUUGGGGGUGGUGAUGAUGGAGUUCAUGGCCAUAAAAACAGUGAGGGGGAUGGCAAUAGUGAUGAUUAUGAUAAAGAUUAGUUUGCAGAUUGAAACCCUCAAGGUCCUUUCGUAGUGUUCAUGGAAUAAUCUCAGAGAAUUUAUUAAAUUAUCUCCUUCUGUCUUCAGGCAAGGAAACUCUAAAUCAACUUUCUACCGUUGCUCGUGGGCAGACAGUGAUGCAGAAUGAAGCAGGUCCGACAGAUCUCCCAUGGAGUCCACUUCCCCGUCCGCAGCCCCGGGCUUGCCCCGUUCCCAGAGCCAGGGCUGUGCCACAGGGCAGGGGCCCACAGAGCAGACGGUCCACCCAGAGCACUCAGAAGCCAGGAGGCAGGAGGUUAGGGAGCUGACUGUAAGCGAGCUGCAGGAAUGGGGAAGGCAGGGCUGACAACCUGGGAUGGAACUGCCUGAGGCUUCCAGGAAAGUCACUUGUGUGGAGAACUCCUGAGGCAAGAGAGCCCUGAAGCCAGGUCAAAGAUUGCCUCCAACAAGGGACCGUUACACCCACCCUGUUACAGGAGCGCCCAGCAGCUGACCUCUCGGGGCAGAGAAGCCUGGGCCUAUAACAAAGGUUGUUACAGCCCUCCCUGGGAGGUCCUGACCAGCCCCACCUGGGCUCCAUGACUUCACCCUUCCUCAGGAUGCUCAGGGCUCAGAAGCAGAGAGGUCAGGUGAGCUGAGGUUUGGAGAGAUCCCCCGGGGACUUGUGAAUCACAUGGUGGCCUUUGAGAUGCUUGCCAUCUGGGGAAUCAGCCACAUAAAUUCCCCAAGUGGACACUCUGUUCUGUA